Molecule: ribosomal RNA, 255 nt
Filed under: uncultured bacterium
Lineage: Bacteria
Description: partial 16S ribosomal RNA
Rfam family: Bacterial small subunit ribosomal RNA
Source: RNAcentral
GACUCCCUACGGGGCGCAGCAGUGAGGAAUAUUGGUCAAUGGCCGAGAGGCUGAACCAGCCAAGUCGCGUGAGGGAAGACGGCCCUACGGGUUGUAAACCUCUUUUGUCGGGGAGCAAAGCGAACCACGUGUGGUUCAUUGAGAGUACCCGAGGAAAAAGCAUCGGCUAACUCCGUGCCAGCAGCCGCGGUAAUACGGAGGAUCCGAGCGUUAUCCGGAUUUAUUGGGUUUAAAGGGAGCGUAGAUGGGUUGUUA